This 100-nucleotide transfer RNA is filed under the name Deltaproteobacteria bacterium. RNAcentral's name for it is "tRNA-Sec". It matches the Rfam family "Selenocysteine transfer RNA". The record is from RNAcentral. Lineage: Bacteria; Pseudomonadati; Myxococcota; Myxococcia.
GGAAGUGCAUCGGUCCUGGUGGGCCGCGCGGUCUUCAAAACCGUAGCGGGGCGUCGGAAGGCGAUCCCCGGGGGGGUUCGAUUCCCCUGCAUUUCCGCCA